Molecule: small nucleolar RNA, 132 nt
Organism: Lampris incognitus (smalleye Pacific opah)
Lineage: Eukaryota; Metazoa; Chordata; Actinopteri; Lampriformes; Lampridae
Product: small nucleolar RNA SNORA13
Exons: 1
Source: RefSeq, a predicted model, not a curated record
UGCCUUCGUGUUGCCCUUUCAUUGUGUUUGUGGUGAAUUGGGUGUCAGGUAAGGCAUACAGUAAUUUUUGUGGUUGUCUUGGAAAUUCAUCAUCACUGAUCCAUUUCCACAGAAUCUACUGCAAAGACAUGU